This 450-nucleotide ribosomal RNA is filed under the name uncultured bacterium. RNAcentral describes it as "bacterial SSU rRNA". It matches the Rfam family "Bacterial small subunit ribosomal RNA", at positions 45 to 494 of the family's 1533-position model. The record is from RNAcentral.
GGCCUAACACAUGCAAGUCGAGGGGUAUAGGUAGCUUGCUAUCUAGAGACCGGCGCACGGGUGCGUAACGCGUAUGCAAUCUACCUUUUACAGGGGGAUAGCCCAGAGAAAUUUGGAUUAAUACCCCAUGGUAUUAUAGGAUGGCAUCAUCUUAUAAUUAAAGUCACAACGGUAAAAGAUGAGCAUGCGUCCCAUUAGCUAGUUGGUAAGGUAACGGCUUACCAAGGCUACGAUGGGUAGGGGUCCUGAGAGGGAGAUCCCCCACACUGGUACUGAGACACGGACCAGACUCCUACGGGAGGCAGCAGUGAGGAAUAUUGGACAAUGGGCGCAAGCCUGAUCCAGCCAUGCCGCGUGCAGGAUGAAGCAUCUAUGGUGUGUAAACUGCUUUUAUACGGGAAGAAACCCCGCCUCGUGAGGCGGACUGACGGUACCGUAAGAAUAAGGACC